UCGUUUAAGUAGCAGUAUGUUGUUUUUUUUUUUAUAUGAUAAAAUUUUAACUUAAGUUUACUUUCUUUUUGGAACUACCAAUAUUUAUUUAUCGGAUAUUUCAUCUUAUCUUACUAUUAAAGAUUAAUAAUUAUUUUUUUAAUUAAUUGAGUUACUAUGAUAGAAUAUGAUUUUACAUAAUGAUACAAAAUAUUGCAUAAUUAUUUUUUUAAACUAUUCAAUAUAUUGUUUAUUAAUGAUUACCAUCAAAUUUAUAUUAUUAUUUUAAAUUAAUUAAAUAUUUUUAAAUUUCAACCCGCCG
This 301-nucleotide long non-coding RNA is filed under the name Elaeis guineensis (African oil palm). RNAcentral's name for it is "long non-coding RNA (EGUI_LNC078018)". Lineage: Eukaryota; Viridiplantae; Streptophyta; Magnoliopsida; Arecales; Arecaceae. The record is from RNAcentral.